UAACUCUGCACUUCACCCGAUAAGGUGGAUUCCAGCUUCCUUCCUUGAUAUACCAGCACCCAAAUUCCAACUUCCAACAUCAGAUGUCACCUUGAAAGGUGGAAUCCAGCUUGAUGAUGAUGUAUACCAGCACCCAUAUCCAACUUCCAAAAUCGGAUAUCACCUUGAAAGGUGGAUUCCAGCUUCAUGAUGAUGUAUACCAGCACCCAUACCCCAUUACAAUUCUGCACUUCACCCGAUAAGGUGGAUUCCAGCUUCCUUCCUUGAUAUACCAGCACCCAAAUUCCAACUUCCAAAAUCAGAUGUCACCUUGAAAGGUGGAUUCCAGCUUGAUGAUGAUGUAUACCAGCACCCAUACCCAAUUACAAUUCUGCACUUCACCUGAUAAGGUGGAUUCCAGCUUCCUUCCUUGAUAUACCAGCACCCAAAUUCCAACUUCCAAAUUCCAACUUUCAGCUUCCAACUUCCAAAAUCAGACGUCACCUUGAAAGUAGGAUUCCGGCUUGAUGAUGAUGUAUACCAGCACCCAAAUUCCAGCUUCCAAAAUCAGAUGUCAUCUUGAAAGGUGGAUUCCAGCUUCCUUCCUUGAUAUAGCAGCACCCAAAUUCCAACUUCCAAAAUCAGAUGUCACCUUGAAAGGUGGAUUCCAGCUUGAUGAUGAUGUAUACCAGCACUCAUAUUCAUCUUAAACUCUGCAUUUCACCUGAUAAAGUGGAUUCCAGCUCCCUUCCCUGAUAUACCAGCACCCAAAUUCCAACUUCCAAAUUCCAACUUUCAGCUUCCAACUUCCAAAAUCAGACGUCACCUUGAAAGUAGGAUUCCGGCUUGAUGAUGAUGUAUACCAGCACCCAAAUUCCAGCUUCCAAAAUCAGAUGUCAUCUUGAAAGGUGGAUUCCAGCUUCCUUCCUUGAUAUACCAGCACCCAAAUUCCAACUUCCAAAAUCAGAUGUCACCUUGAAAGGUGGAUUCCAGCUUGAUGAUGAUGUAUACCAGCACUCAUAUUCAUCUUAAACUCUGCAUUUCACCUGAUAAAGUGGAUUCCAGCUCCCUUCCCUGAUAUACCAGCACCCAAAUUCCAACUUCCAAAAUCAGACGUCACCUGUAUGGCUGAACAGGCAGCCAAAACCUUGCCUAGUAAACCUUAAGUCGGGUGGGGGAAGGGCAAAUUCUGAAUUUCAUACGCUUCAACGUCUACAGAUAAAGGGGACUACAUGACUGGAAAUAGGGAAAGAUGGGGAUCAGAUCAUUUUUGCAUGUCUGUCAGGAUGGAGAGAGGAGAGUUUCACAAAGUGAAGGCUCAGCAGCAGCUUAGUGAGUCCAUCGCAAAACUCUACUUUUACCAGAUGCUGAAAGCAGUCCAGGUGAGACAGACUAUAGUAUUAUGGUUGUUAUUGUUCCCAGAACACUGGAAAUACGGAAAGAUGGGGAUCGGAUUAUUUUUGCGUGUCUGUCUGUCAGGAUGGAGAGUGCAGAGUUCCACAAAGUGAAGGCUCAUCAGCAGCUUAGUGAGUCCAUUGCAAAACUCUACUUUUACCAGAUGUUGGGAGCAGUCCAGGAACAGGAUCAUCCACAGACUGCUGAAACCUGGCAUGAUGAGCUGCUGUUAUAUCAGCUCAUACUCUUGUGUACAUUGUACUUUUGAAAAAUAAAGAGAUUCUAAUAUAA
Scatophagus argus is the source of this 1665-nucleotide long non-coding RNA. RefSeq lists it as uncharacterized. The record is from RefSeq and is a predicted model, not a curated record. The transcript has 2 exons. Lineage: Eukaryota; Metazoa; Chordata; Actinopteri; Scatophagidae.